GACAGAGGUACCAAGCGUUAGGCAGAAUCACUGGGCUUAAAGCGUGUGUAGGCGGAUUCCUAAGUGUCUUGUGAAAUCCCACGGCUUAACCGUGGAACUGCUGGACAUACUGGGAGUCUUGAGCCACCUAGGGGCGAGCGGAACAGAAGGUGGAGCGGUGAUAUGCGUAGAUAUCAUCUGGAACGCCAAUGGUGAAAACAGCUCGCUAGGGGUGUGCUGACGCUGAGACACGAAAGCUAGGGUAGCGAACGGG
Molecule: unclassified non-coding RNA, 253 nt
Filed under: uncultured Tepidisphaerales bacterium
Lineage: Bacteria; Pseudomonadati; Planctomycetota; Phycisphaerae; Tepidisphaerales
Description: contains 16S-23S intergenic spacer region
Rfam family: Bacterial small subunit ribosomal RNA
Source: RNAcentral